Molecule: small RNA, 655 nt
Filed under: Pan troglodytes (chimpanzee)
Lineage: Eukaryota; Metazoa; Chordata; Mammalia; Primates; Hominidae
Description: processed transcript
Source: RNAcentral
CUCAGGCCACAGUCAUUUGUUCCUUCCAAGAAAUGAAAGGAAAGGAACAUGGAGAGAAAGGGGAAAGUAAUAUUUUCUGUGUGCCUACUAUCUAACAAGCUCUGUGCCAGAAGCUUAACAUGUUGGUUACAUCAUUUAAUCCAAAACACCACCUUAGAAGGACCAGACUUAUGAAGUGGCCUUCUGAGGACAUUUUCUGACCUUAUGGUAUGAAGUUCCUUCAGGCUCUUAAUUCUGGAUAAACUGGAGUGAUUAACAACAGCAAAGAGACAUAGUAUUCAGAUAAGGACUUUGUGUCUUAUUUUUCUUUUUAUAUCACAACUGGAGCCACAGUUGUGGGCAAGGCACUGACUUUCUUGAUGAAUUCUGUCCAUCUGUAAAGCAGCUAUAUAUCCCACUGGAGGCUUUGCCUCUCAGAGACAACGUGAAGACGGAUAAGCAGGCAUCAGGAGCAGAGUGGCCUCUCAGCUUCCGCCAAGAACUUCUUACCUGGGCAUGUAUUUCUAUCCUAUUCACUUUUUACUCUCUGGCGUAGAACUUCUUCCUACCAAACUGUCAUCCUCUGCACCUCUCCUGGCCUUCCUCACAAGUUUGUAAGCAUUAAGAAGGUGCGCUGCAUGCCUCAUUAAAUUCCUCCUUGGAAGGGCUGAGUUCA